This 253-nucleotide ribosomal RNA is filed under the name uncultured bacterium. Its description in RNAcentral is "partial 16S ribosomal RNA". It matches the Rfam family "Bacterial small subunit ribosomal RNA", at positions 524 to 776 of the family's 1533-position model. The record is from RNAcentral.
UCCGGGGGGGGCAAGCGUUGUGCGGAAUUACUGGGCGUAAAGGGCGCGUAGGCGGCCUGCUAAGUCGGACGUGAAAUCCCUCGGCUCAACCGGGGAACUGCGUCCGAUACUGGUGGGCUCGAAUCCGGGAGAGGGAUGUGGAAUUCCAGGUGUAGCGGUGAAAUGCGUAGAUAUCUGGAGGAACACCGGUGGCGAAGGCGGCAUCCUGGACCGGUAUUGACGCUGAUGCGCGAAAGCCAGGGGAGCAAACGGG